CAGGACCUGCUGAACCUGGGGCCCUAUAGGAGAGCACUGAUGGCCCACCCCUGAACGUGGCCCUGGUCUUCAUGUCUGCAUCAGCCUCAGCCAUCUCAAGACCACAACGGGAACAUAGCCAAGUCAGAGAAGGAAGACCAAAAGCACGAGGGCCCUUCAUAUUAUUAAGCUGCUAAAUUAACUAAUCUUGGAAACUUCUAGACUACAAUUCUUGUUGUAUGAGAGUGGGUUGACAAUUAUUCUCUGGACUUUUUGGUAACCAAGAACUUCUAGCAACUAACCCUGGCAUGACCACCAGAAUCUGCAGGGCUGAGAGAGGAAAGAAAGGUAAAAGUGGAUGAAUGCAGCUGAAGAUGCUAUGGAACUCCUAUCACAUUCCAAGUGCUGUGUUGAUAUCUGGAGAUAUAGACAAGAUCGAAGCAGAUGCAGAGUCUUUAACAUGAAUAUUUGAAUCAGGUACAGGAUGCAGGUGAAGAGUAUUGGCCUCAGCUUUAGAGACCAGAGGUUAAAUCUCAAUGCUGCCACAAAACGAUCCAUGUAAGUCAGUAAACAAUGCUUUUUAAAUUAUUAUUAUAAAG
Symphalangus syndactylus (siamang) is the source of this 578-nucleotide long non-coding RNA. RefSeq lists it as uncharacterized. NCBI's taxonomy places the organism in Eukaryota, Metazoa, Chordata, Mammalia, Primates, Hylobatidae. The record is from RefSeq and is a predicted model, not a curated record.